RNAcentral lists this ribosomal RNA (465 nucleotides) under Vreelandella stevensii. RNAcentral describes it as "partial 16S ribosomal RNA". It matches the Rfam family "Bacterial small subunit ribosomal RNA", at positions 338 to 795 of the family's 1533-position model. Lineage: Bacteria; Pseudomonadati; Pseudomonadota; Gammaproteobacteria; Oceanospirillales; Halomonadaceae. The record is from RNAcentral.
CCUACGGGAGGCUGCAGUGGGGAAUAUUGGACAAUGGGCGAGAGCCUGAUCCAGCCAUGCCGCGUGUGUGAAGAAGGCCUUCGGGUUGUAAAGCACUUUCAGUGGGGAAGAAAGCCUUGGGGCUAAUACCCUCGAGGAAGGACAUCACCCACAGAAGAAGCACCGGCUAACUCCGUGCCAGCAGCCGCGGUAAUACGGAGGGUGCGAGCGUUAAUCGGAAUUACUGGGCGUAAAGCGCGCGUAGGCGGUCUGAUAAGCCGGUUGUGAAAGCCCCGGGCUCAACCUGGGAACGGCAUCCGGAACUGUCAGGCUAGAGUGCAGGAGAGGAAGGUAGAAUUCCCGGUGUAGCGGUGAAAUGCGUAGAGAUCGGGAGGAAUACCAGUGGCGAAGGCGGCCUUCUGGACUGACACUGACGCUGAGGUGCGAAAGCGUGGGUAGCAAACAGGAUUAGAUACCCGUGUAGUC